This is a long non-coding RNA of Rhineura floridana, 654 nucleotides long. RefSeq lists it as uncharacterized. NCBI's taxonomy places the organism in Eukaryota, Metazoa, Chordata, Lepidosauria, Squamata, Rhineuridae. The transcript is spliced from 4 exons. The record is from RefSeq and is a predicted model, not a curated record.
GGCGGAGAAGCUGAGGAACAAGAAAAGUGGACAAAGGAAGCGAGAGGAGGGCUGGCGAGAUGGAGAGAAGCCACUUCUCGCGUUGGGAUUGGUUUUAGGUGGUUUCAAAACACUUAGUUUCUCAUUUGCUGCAUCAUAUCCUGGUAUAGUCUUCACUACCACCAUUAUUGAAAACAUUGGCAAUUUCACCAGUUAAGGUACAUGAAACUUGGAAUGGGAAGUGGCAAAGUUGAUAUGAGGGGAAGCAAGCCCUACAGCAGCCUUGCAAGGGAGUGAAGGAAUCUCCGCAGUGUGGCAUGGAAAGAGUAUGUGUGUGUGUUUUAAAGAAGAUUGGCAGAGGUCAGAUCCCUUUCCUAAUAACGAGCAAAAGCAGAAGAUGUCUCUAGCUUCAUUUCAGCACAAUGAACUGAUAACAUGAUUUUCAGAGCCUGCCUUCUUGUAGGAGGAGCUUUGCAAAACGCAACUUGACACCUGAGGGAAUUUACAGGUCUAUGGAAGCAUGAAGUUCUGGUUUGAAACCUGCAAGCACAUUUCUCCAUUUAUAUUGCAUCUUUUAGGAAAUUGGUAAUUGCAUUAGGUCAAGGGGAAUGUCUGAUAUCUUCCAUUAUCUAUACAUUGUGUAACAUGUCUGUAGUUUUUAUUAAAAUAGCAUUU